Sorghum bicolor (sorghum) is the source of this 144-nucleotide microRNA precursor. It matches the Rfam family "MIR6234 microRNA precursor family". NCBI's taxonomy places the organism in Eukaryota, Viridiplantae, Streptophyta, Magnoliopsida, Poales, Poaceae. The record is from Rfam.
CUCUUUUCCGUAUGCAAGUGUGUUCCUCUAUUAGAUGCUAAAGGUUGGUGCUCCUUUUGAAACACCACAAAUGUCCUUGUUGCAUUUGGUAGUAUUCUUACCUUUAGCGUCAAGAGACGAACACACUUGCCCACCGAAAAGGAC